Molecule: ribosomal RNA, 448 nt
Filed under: uncultured bacterium
Lineage: Bacteria
Description: SSU rRNA
Rfam family: Bacterial small subunit ribosomal RNA
Source: RNAcentral
AGGAUGAACGCUGGCGGUCUGCUUAACACAUGCAAGUCGAACGGAGUAGCAAUACUUAGUGGCGGACGGGUGAGUAACGCGUGAGAAUCUACCUUCAGGACGGAGACAACAGUUGGAAACGACUGCUAACCCCCGAUGUACCGCAAGGGCAAAUAUUUAUAGCCUGAAGAAGAGCUCGCGUCCGAUUAGCUAGUUGGAGAGGUAAAAGCUCACCAAGGCGACGAUCGGUAGCUGGUCUGAGAGGAUGGUCAGCCACACUGGGACUGAGACACGGCCCAGACUCCUACGGGAGGCAGCAGUUAGGAAAUUUUCGCAAUGGGGGAAACCCUGACGGAGUAACGCCGCGUGGAGGAUGACGGCUUUCGGGUUGUAAACUCCUUUUCUGUUGGGAAGAGUAGAAGACGGUACCGCAGGAAGAAGCCUCGGCUAACUACGCGCCAGCAGCCGC